RNAcentral lists this transfer RNA (90 nucleotides) under Candidatus Moranbacteria bacterium RIFCSPHIGHO2_01_FULL_55_24. RNAcentral's name for it is "tRNA-Ser". It matches the Rfam family "tRNA". Rfam says of the family: Transfer RNA (tRNA) molecules are approximately 80 nucleotides in length. Their secondary structure includes four short double-helical elements and three loops (D, anti-codon, and T loops). The record is from RNAcentral. Lineage: Bacteria; Candidatus Moraniibacteriota.
GGAAAGGUGGCCGAGUGGUUGAAGGUACUUGCUUGGAAAGCAAGCGUGCGGGAAACCGUACCGAGGGUUCGAAUCCCUCCCUUUCCGCCG